GGACAAGUAAAGAGUGUUUUAUGCUUUUUUUUUCUUUUAGUUUGUAUGUUUUUCCUUGUAAGAAUACUUACUUGAAGUCUCUCCUUGAGUUUGUGACAGGUGCUGCUCUUUGCUCUGCCUUUGGUCAAAGACUAAGAAGGAAAAGGUGCUGAAAAUCAAGGAAAUCUAGACAGUAAACACAAAUUUAAAAAGGUCAGCUAUGAUAACAUGGGGAAAAAAAAUCAAGAUCCUGUCGAGACGUUUUGUGCAUUCAGUUUCAACGGGGUAGAUGACUGAGCUGCUGUUUUCACACAUUUUAUCACCAGGAGAGCUGGAAACCCUCAAGUACAGGGCAGAGUGAUGAUCUCAGCUUGGUCAGAAGCGACAAUUUGUGUGCUCCUCACUUUAGAGCUGCAGAGAAUUUGGGACUGCAGAACAUCCCCUCCUCGCUUAUCUGUGAAUGACAGCCCUGCCUGCAGCAUGAACAGAAACGAAGGAAGCGAAGGAGGCUGCCUUGCUCCUCGGGCCGUCAGCAGGCAGGCUGGAGAGGGCCGCCGGGGUGCAGCAGCUCAGAUGAACGAUGCUAAAGAGCUUUGAUGUCCGAGGAGGAUUUGUGAUUCUUGUGUAAGAGCCAGACUGACGUCAGAGGACCUGAAUCAAACCGUGCAGAGUAAUCAAAGAGCUGCUGCUGCAUCAUUAUUCUUACAUAAAACUGUUUUUUUAAGCUUCGCUCACAAUAAAAUUUGAUUUUUGCCUCAACUAAAACAAUGAGCAUGAAAAGCAGGAAAAAUUGAGUUUGUGCAACAUUUAAAAACAGAGAGUCAAAGCUACUCAGCAAUUUAGUUGAUAAUCUUAAUCAUCUCCGGAGACCCUCAGAACAUUUUAUAAUUUUAAUAUAAUUUAUGUAUAUAUGGCAACCUUUGUUGUAAAUCAACAUUCUUCAUAUCAGAGUUAGAGCAGCCUCCAGACCUCCGGGUUGCUUCGGAAACCUCCAGGUCUGCAGAGGCAUCAUGAGAAAAUCUAGAGGGUUCUCUCGCCUGAGACGGCAGGUCUGUACCUGUCGACAGAGAGCCCCGGUGUGGCUCCGAGCAUGCUCAGAUGCAGCCGCCGUUAUGUAACCCUCAUAGAACAAACCUAUGUUUUUAAUUUGGGAAUUGGAACUCUUCUUUGAGCUGCCGUAACUUUAAUAACAUUUUUUGUUUCGGCAAAUAACAGUAUCACAUCUUUUAAGGGCGUCUCACUGACAGAAGUGGAAAAAUAAACUCAAUAUUAAAUCUG
Non-coding RNA from Oryzias latipes (Japanese medaka), 1257 nucleotides. Lineage: Eukaryota; Metazoa; Chordata; Actinopteri; Beloniformes; Adrianichthyidae. The record is from RefSeq and is a predicted model, not a curated record.